GUCGAGCGGACGGAUGGGAGCUUGCUCCCUGAAGUCAGCGGCGGACGGGUGAGUAACACGUGGGCAACCUGCCUGUAAGACUGGGAUAACUUCGGGAAACCGGAGCUAAUACCGGAUAAUGCAUAUCCUCUCAUGGGGAUAUGCUGAAAGAUGGUUUCGGCUAUCACUUACAGAUGGGCCCGCGGCGCAUUAGCUAGUUGGUGAGGUAACGGCUCACCAAGGCAACGAUGCGUAGCCGACCUGAGAGGGUGAUCGGCCACACUGGGACUGAGACACGGCCCAGACUCCUACGGGAGGCAGCAGUAGGGAAUCUUCCGCAAUGGACGAAAGUCUGACGGAGCAACGCCGCGUGAGUGAUGAAGGUUUUCGGAUCGUAAAACUCUGUUGUCAGGGAAGAACAAGUGCCGGAGUAACUGCCGGCACCUUGACGGUACCUGACCAGAAAGCCACGGCUAACUACGUGCCAGCAGCCGCGGUAAUACGUAGGUGGCAAGCGUUGUCCGGAAUUAUUGGGCGUAAAGCGCGCGCAGGCGGUCUCUUAAGUCUGAUGUGAAAGCCCACGGCUCAACCGUGGAGGGUCAUUGGAAACUGGGGGACUUGAGUGCAGAAGAGGAAAGUGGAAUUCCACGUGUAGCGGUGAAAUGCGUAGAGAUGUGGAGGAACACCAGUGGCGAAGGCGACUUUCUGGUCUGUAACUGACGCUGAGGCGCGAAAGCGUGGGGAGCAAACAGGAUUAGAUACCCUG
Molecule: ribosomal RNA, 745 nt
Filed under: Bacillus sp. CH452a
Lineage: Bacteria; Bacillati; Bacillota; Bacilli; Caryophanales; Bacillaceae
Description: bacterial SSU rRNA
Rfam family: Bacterial small subunit ribosomal RNA
Source: RNAcentral